Molecule: ribosomal RNA, 253 nt
Filed under: uncultured bacterium
Lineage: Bacteria
Description: partial 16S ribosomal RNA
Rfam family: Bacterial small subunit ribosomal RNA
Source: RNAcentral
UACGGGGGGGGCAAGCGUUGUUCGGAAUUACUGGGCGUAAAGGGCGCGUAGGCGGCCUUCUAAGUCGAACGUGAAAUCCCUGGGCUCAACCCAGGAACUGCGUCCGAUACUGGAAGGCUUGAAUCCGGGAGAGGGAUGCGGAAUUCCAGGUGUAGCGGUGAAAUGCGUAGAUAUCUGGAGGAACACCGGUGGCGAAGGCGGCAUCCUGGACCGGCAUUGACGCUGAGGCGCGAAAGCCAGGGGAGCAAACGGG